Molecule: long non-coding RNA, 1762 nt
Organism: Varanus komodoensis (Komodo dragon)
Lineage: Eukaryota; Metazoa; Chordata; Lepidosauria; Squamata; Varanidae
Exons: 6
Source: RefSeq, a predicted model, not a curated record
CAGCUUAACUUCUUCACACAGCAUACACUUAACUUAUUGAAUUUUCUGCCACCACAGGAAGCUUCAUACUACAGCUCAACUGGCCCGUCAGCUAUUAUUAUGAGAGUAAAAAUGUCACAACGAACAUCCAUUUCCCAAAUUCCCACACAGAUGCAAGGUUUGCUACUAAAGGAAUGAAAAGCUCAACAGAGUCAGCAAGCCUCUGGGAAUUAGAAGGUAAAUGAAAAGAAAUUCAACCUGAGCCAAGAGCCUAACUUCAGGCAUCAGGAAACUGGACAUACAUGUUCAAUGCAGGCUGUCCUUGAGUCAGAUUUUGAAGAACUGUAGCAAACUCUGGCAAAAGCUUGUUGCUGCCUCAGUGGGCUGCACCUGACCAGAGUUCCUAUUCCGAUACACAACUGGGGGAUGCUCUGUCUGCCUGGGAGGAGCCAUACCAGAAAUGCUGCUUCCAGCUUCUCCUUCUGCUCCUGCUUCUGUGCUUAUUGCAGAAAGUUCAUUAGGAAAAACCAAACAGGCAGAAUAAUUGCACAAAACUUUGUAACUGGAAAGAAUAGAAACCCACUGUCCACAAGCCAGGAUUUCUACUCUGCUUCCAGCACUGCAAGGAAGCUCUUAAGCCAGUGUCACUGUCCUUUUCUGUGUGAAGUUUGCAUUUUUUCCUCCAAGUAGAGCACAUGAAAUGAUCCCCGACUGAAAAGCCGCCUCAUUUAACCUAAGUGUCAUUUGAGCUAAUGAAAAUCUACAGCAGUCUUCUGCAAUGCAUCACAUUCCAGAUGUGUUUGGACUGCAACUACCAUCAUCUUCAGUCAAUGUGACUAUUAGUCACUGGCACCUCAGAUCCCAUCAGCUUAUGUGUGAAGUUGUGUUGCGGGGGUGCUUUUGUUUGCUUUUGCUUUUUGGCCGAUGUGCAAUAUAAAUUUACACUUGCUGACUUGGAACCACAUUUACCAAUCUGAUGCCCAUUCCCCCAGUUUAGAUGCUCAUUUCCCCCAUUUGGGGAGAUCCUUCUGGAGCUCUGAUACCCUUUUUGUUCUUGCCAUCCUAAAUAAAGUACUGUCAUUCGCAAACUGGACUGCCUUACCUUUGCUCAUAAUUGUCAUUUGUGAACAAGUUGAAAAGCCCUGGAUCCAAUCUGGAAUGUACCAAAUUGAAGAGGCCGAAGCACAGCAUAAUCUGUUCCUGAGUGUGAGUUCCUCUCUAUAUGGUAGCAUAUACAACCAUUGCGAUAUGAGCAGAUCACCACAAAAGACCUUAUAUUAGAACAGACGUAAUGCACAACAAUACAUUGCUGCUGGGAACUAUGCCUUUACUAUGCUUCAGUAAAGAAAGGAUGCAUUGGAGAAAUAUAUACAAUUUGUCCAAAAUAAAAGAAUAGGAAAGGAACCUGGAUAUUUCCUUCACAGAAAAGAUGUGGUUCUGGCAAGGACACAGUACAGGUUGCACUGACACAUCUGAUGUUGAAAUGUGCACAAACUGCAGCUACAAGAGGAAUCCUAUGAACCCUCGAUUUCCAGGUGCAUGGAAACAAAGAAAAAGAAACAAAGCCCUGAACUUGGAGCUGGGGAUCCAUGCAAUCAUCUUUCCACCUAUGUCUCUUGCAGCUGGCACAGAAAGACCCGUACAAGCUACUUCUCUUUGACCUGAACAUUUACUUUAAAGAGGCGGUUUAUUUACUUAUUUGGAGCUUUUAUAUGCCAUCUCAGUCUCAUAAGCCUCGGGACGGCUUCCAACAUAAUAAAUAAACAGUAUAUUAUCUGGAUCC